This is a non-coding RNA of Chiloscyllium plagiosum (whitespotted bambooshark), 394 nucleotides long. NCBI's taxonomy places the organism in Eukaryota, Metazoa, Chordata, Chondrichthyes, Orectolobiformes, Hemiscylliidae. The record is from RefSeq and is a predicted model, not a curated record.
GCGGACGGUUGGGAUUGGAUAGUGGGGCGCGAGGGCGGCGGUUGUGAUUGGAUUGGGGCGCGCGAGGCCGGUCGUGUCGAGAGAAGGGGGCGGGGCCAAGGUGGAACUGCCGGAAGUUUACAUUUUCGAGGAAAGCGACGAGGGCGAUUUUGCCGAGGAAAUCUGCUCAAGUGUGCGAUUACACAGCGAGCGAGCGACUGAGGCCGCACGUCCUCGGUCUGUCAGUCAGGGAGGGUCUGAGCAGCGCCCGGUGGCGGUCCAGCCCGGUCUGACUGGUCUCCAGGGUGACAAGGAGUCGAGGGCAACGUCUAGCCGUUGCAGGACUGUCAGGAAAAGAAAAGUUUGAAGCUUCGGUCUGGAAAGAAGGGGACUAAACAGGUUAAUUUGCAUCAGA